UGAGGAAUAUUGGUCAAUGGGUGCAAGCCUGAACCAGCCAUCCCGCGUGAAGGACGACUGCCCUAUGGGUUGUAAACUUCUUUUGUAUAGGGAUAAACCUACCCUCGUGAGGGUAGCUGAAGGUACUAUACGAAUAAGCACCGGCUACCUCCGUGCUAGCAGCCGCGGUAAUACGGAGCGUGCAAGCGUUAUCCGGAUUUAUUGGGUUGAAAGGGUCCGUAGGCGGACUUAUAAGUCAGUGGUGAAAGCCUGUCGCUUAACGAUAGAACUGCCAUGGAUACUGUAAGUCUUGAGUAUAGUUGAGGUAGCUGGAAUAAGUAGUGUAGCGGUGAAAUGCAUAGAUAUUACGUGGAACACCAAUUGCGAAGGCAGGUUACCAGGAUAUAACUGACGCUGAGGGACGAAAGCGUGGGGAGCGAACA
RNAcentral lists this ribosomal RNA (422 nucleotides) under uncultured prokaryote. RNAcentral describes it as "bacterial SSU rRNA". It matches the Rfam family "Bacterial small subunit ribosomal RNA", at positions 355 to 774 of the family's 1533-position model. The record is from RNAcentral.